GGUAACAUUCUCGUGUGUGUUUAUUAAUAUUUUUAUCUUAGUUUGCAUAUUUAUGGAAACGGAAACAGAAACCAAAUGCGAGCAAAUGUUAAUUGAAAAAUAAAGAUUUCUUUUUAUGAAUAAUGAUAUUUAAUAUUCAUUUGAACUCUAAUAGCUUGUUAAUAUUUUGAGUUAAAAGCAUGCAAUUGUACAAACUUUUAAUUGAACCACGUAUAAGUAAAUUCUUAAGUGAAAUCCGCUACAAAGUCCUGGAUGAAGUUAUCUCAUUUUGACGAUGAAUAUGCAGAGCUUUCAUCUUGAUAAAAGAACAGGGAAGAAAUGUUAUAUGAUUGGAGCAAAGGAACUCAAAAUUACCUGGGGUGACAUCCCGAAGUACUGGGAAUGGAAGUCUCAGAUAGAUUCCAGGUCCUUCACCUUGCACACCUUUUGCGUUUUUAUAAUUUUGGGGCAUGUAAACUGAAGGAAUCAGUAUGUAUAUAUAAAUGCGUUGAUGAAAAACUUAUUGGUGAACUUUUUCCUUUGCGGGCCCCCUCUUUGGACCAAAUCCGCCCACAUUAGGAUCAAUUGGUUUAUCAAACUGGAUGGAUUAACCCUCUGGCUUUUUAAAAGCACUUUUUCACUCUUUCAUGUAUUAGGGGAUUUCACCUGGAAAAGAAAAUGUGCCAUACUAAUGGUUUUUGUUUCUACGGAGUCAACUCUAUCUCAUCAAUGAAAUUAUCUCUCCCACUGUGGUUAUGCAGAUUCUCAAUAGUGGCAAAGCUUUUGGAAGUAUGGUGGCUUGACAUACGAGGCAAGAUAGAGGCAAAAAUGCUAUCCCCAAAUACUCAUUAUGCAGCUUAUCUCGUAUAUAGGUUAGCAAAGAAUUUCAAGGGCCUUGGAUCAGCUAAUGGGAUGAUCAAGUUUCUUAUCCAUGAAGACGAUGCUGAUGCUGAAAAGCCAGCUACUACUUUGAGACUUCAACCACCCAAGGAUACAAAUAGUCAGAAUGCUGUCAUGAGGAGACCCGAUGGAUGGAUGGAAGUAGCAAUGGGACAUUUUUAUACUGAUAAAGGAGUUGGCAUGGUGGAGGCACGGUUAUUGGAAACCAAUUGUUGGAAGAGAGGCCUCAUUGUUGAAGGAAUU
This 1122-nucleotide long non-coding RNA is filed under the name Olea europaea (common olive). Its description in RNAcentral is "long non-coding RNA (OEUR_LNC008205)". The record is from RNAcentral. Lineage: Eukaryota; Viridiplantae; Streptophyta; Magnoliopsida; Lamiales; Oleaceae.